Molecule: transfer RNA, 326 nt
Filed under: Lupinus albus (white lupine)
Lineage: Eukaryota; Viridiplantae; Streptophyta; Magnoliopsida; Fabales; Fabaceae
Description: hypothetical ncRNA
Rfam family: tRNA (bases 127-198)
Source: RNAcentral
GCCGCCUACCUACUCGUGCUCGUAGCUCGAUCGGAGGUGAAGACUUUUGUCCGGCGGAAAAAGAGAAGUCGUCCGUCUCAAGUGAUACGUUAAUUGCUCAGUAGUGCUUCGCCACUACCGUAGCUGGCGGAAAUAGCUUAAUGGUAGAGCAUAGCCUUGCCAAGGCUGAGGUUGAGGGUUCAAGUCCCUCCUUCCGCUCUUGGCUUCGUCGUUUAGUGGUAACGAGUAGAGUAGGCAUCGCCUCUCGAUCCAAUCCGUCUUUCCCUGGCCUCCCCAACACACUCUUGAUACGAAAGAAACCUCCCGCCAAUCGGAAUCGGAUUCGG